UGACUCAAGAAUAGAUCUAUGGGCAGUGCAACCCAUCUCAACAAAAUAAGACAUGAUAGAAGACAUCUGAAAAGGUGCAAUGGUUCCUCACCUAGAGCAGAACAGUGCCCUUCCCUGUGUCAGAGAAGGCAACAAUCCACAUGCAGAAAGGAUGCUCCUUAUAAGAUAACUUUUUAUCAAAUCUUCAUGAUUAAGCGGAUGAUUGACCCAUCAUCUUCUACCUUCAGGAUAGUUCUGCACAAAUUGUCUCUAACUUCACUGCUCAGGCUAACUGCAGAGAAAGAAGUUCCAUCACAACACAGGACCUGAUGAUGAAUUUUGGCAGCUGCUGUAAUUGAAGGUUGUCUCGUGCCUUUCAA
This is a non-coding RNA of Cyanistes caeruleus (blue tit), 359 nucleotides long. The record is from RefSeq and is a predicted model, not a curated record. Lineage: Eukaryota; Metazoa; Chordata; Aves; Passeriformes; Paridae.